CUUGGAGGAUCUUAUCAUCAACAAUCAUCAAGAUCAAUCUACUCUACAAGACAAGGACGUUAUUCUCCUAUCCAAUCGACGACUUGGUGUGCAACUACAUCGGAGUUCGAGGCGAAGUCGCGGGACAGGCUAAUUCCGAGCUAGCAUCUGUUCUCGCCGAAUUGGAAUUCAAAAUGGAGUGUGGAGUGGAGCAAUUCACCUGCCGCUGAUCGUCUCCAAGCAUCAAGAUCAAGAUGGAAUAGAAUUGGAUGGCAUCAAGACAGAAUCCUACAGGGAAUCGAUUUCCUUAGUCCAGUCCGAAGCGGAGACCAGCUUUGUUGAUCGGAGACGGAAAAGCACGCCAAGCAUCAAAAUAAAGAAACAACUACCACUGUUCCUCCGGCGCUGGAAAUCAAUAGUGUAUUCAGCUAUGCGCACACCAAAAAAGUUACCAGAAGGACUUCAGCUUGCGUGGCAACACCAACAAGUCUCCGACGAUGCGAUCGACUACUUCUGCAAGAGCAAGACAUCUACGCCGGCUCGCUAACGACUACUUCAACUACUCGUCUCGACUAGAAAACUAGUCAGGGCAGACUUCUCACCGUCAAUAACUAGUCGGAAUCGACUCCGACUAGUUAGCUUCAUCAACAAUCGAUACGGCUUCGUUGACAAUCGUCCACGAAUCCAGCUAAGUCACUUUUUUAAUUAUUAUAUUAUUUUAAUUUUUCGGCUUGUUUUCCACAUGAUGGGCAACGCGCCGAGUACUUAUUUAUGUACGCCUCUCGACGGUAAUUACUCUCCAGAGCUGCACUUCACCGACUAUUCUUGGGGCAUGUUGACCGACAUCCAUGACUUGGUACACCAAAUUACGAAGGCUAUUGGCACGGAUUUUGUGCACUGAGUUCCGGAAGCUUCGCCAACAGGCUUGUUACAUCAAAUUUCGGAGGCUAUGGCCACGGGUUUGGUGCAUUGAGUGCUGAAGGCUCGCAGCGGCUACACCCUAAGGAGGUACAAAUCCUAUGCGCGGCAAUACGCGCUCUACUCGUAAAAAAGGUAGAAAAGUCUCAAUGACUACUUUACGCGCAAUCGCGCAGUCUUUUUGUCGCAAUACCGACUACUUAUUUUAAAUCUCUUCUCUUAGCGGUUACUAAUCUCCUCGAGUAGAACACGCCUUAAUUCAAAGGUGGGGAUGAUGGAGAUGUACGGAGGUGGGGAUAACGGCGGCCCGGGUAGAGGUGGUGUCGCGCCGAGGCCGAGCUUCGCACGCCGGACUGGCCCACUGCAGCCUGGGUAACGCGUCGGAGCCUUGAAGGUGGAGCCAUGGAAGACUCAAGCCUCGAGCUGGAGGGAGAGAUGUAGAGAUGGGAGAGGGAGAGAGAAGACAUGGAGAUGUGCACAUGGGUGAGGCUCGCCAGGCGUGGAAAGGCACGCUAUCGGGUCUCGCUAGGUUCAACGAUAGCCGCUUCUUCUCUUUCCUCCACCUAGGAUAAAAGGCUGACCUGGACAUGCUGCAGAGAGUGUAUCGGCACCUGUUGCGGGUGCCCUUAGGGCAAGUACAUUGGUGUCGUCUAAUAGGCGAUCUCGUGCAUUGACACGUAAUCUUGAGACGAUUUAAC
This 1595-nucleotide long non-coding RNA is filed under the name Setaria italica (foxtail millet). RNAcentral's name for it is "long non-coding RNA (SITA_LNC000513)". The record is from RNAcentral. Lineage: Eukaryota; Viridiplantae; Streptophyta; Magnoliopsida; Poales; Poaceae.